AGCGUGGGUAGCAAACAGGAUUAGAUACCCUGGUAGUCCACGCCGUAAACGAUGUCGACCAGCCGUUGGGUGCCUAGCGCACUUUGUGGCGAAGUUAACGCGAUAAGUCGACCGCCUGGGGAGUACGGCCGCAAGGUUAAAACUCAAAUGAAUUGACGGGGGCCCGCACAAGCGGUGGAGCAUGUGGUUUAAUUCGAUGCAACGCGAAGAACCUUACCUACUCUUGACAUCCUGCGAAUUUGGUAGAGAUACCUUAGUGCCUUCGGGAACGCAGAGACAGGUGCUGCAUGGCUGUCGUCAGCUCGUGUUGUGAAAUGUUGGGUUAAGUCCCGUAACGAGCGCAACCCUUGUCCUUAUUUGCCAGCGCGUAAUGGCGGGAACUCUAAGGAGACUGCCGGUGACAAACCGGAGGAAGGUGGGGACGACGUCAAGUCAUCAUGGCCCUUACGAGUAGGGCUACACACGUGCUACAAUGGUCGGUACAAAGGGUUGCCAACUCGCGAGAGUGAGCCAAUCCCGAAAAGCCGAUCUCAGUCCGGAUCGGAGUCUGCAACUCGACUCCGUGAAGUCGGAAUCGCUAGUAAUCGUGGAUCAGAAUGCCACGGUGAAUACGUUCCCGGGCCUUGUACACACCGCCCGUCACACCAUGG
Molecule: ribosomal RNA, 650 nt
Filed under: Vreelandella aquamarina
Lineage: Bacteria; Pseudomonadati; Pseudomonadota; Gammaproteobacteria; Oceanospirillales; Halomonadaceae
Description: bacterial SSU rRNA
Rfam family: Bacterial small subunit ribosomal RNA
Source: RNAcentral